This 597-nucleotide long non-coding RNA is filed under the name Fukomys damarensis (Damara mole-rat). RNAcentral describes it as "lncRNA (ENSFDAG00000024435.1)". The record is from RNAcentral. Lineage: Eukaryota; Metazoa; Chordata; Mammalia; Rodentia; Bathyergidae.
CGUUGGUGGGGUCUAGGCUGCUGGACGCACCAAGCAUUUUUACAGCAGAAGUCCUGAAAGCAGAAAAAGGCUGUUUCUCUCCCCUUCGUCACCAGUGACUUGCUCUGUGCAGGGCUGGAAGAGACUGAGUAGAGAAGUGAAGAGAAAAACGAAAGUGGUAAAAACGGAGGAGGACAAGGGCGAUCUUUACAUUCUCAAAGAGUUUUCAUUUUCAUCCUCUCAUUUACUGAUAAAAACAACCCUGUAAAGGGGGCCAGGUGUCUUAACUUAAUCUGUCUGACUUAUUUUGCCAAAGGAAAAGAAUCCCAAAGGCCUCAAAUUGUGAAUGCAGUGAACGGAAGAGAGGUUACUUUUCCUGCUCUGGGCAAUGCCGUGGUUGGAAAGAGCCAGAACUACGGUUUGGAAAGGCUUUCAUCCAAGCCUAGACAAUGCACGUUCUCAAGAUGGAAAAGUUCCUCAUUUGUGCAAUGCGCUAACAUUACCCGGCACUACGGCCAUGAGGAGAAGACAGAAAGUGUGACACUGGACCUGCAGAAUAAGCGGGUGACACAGCACUCCAUGAUGCCCCUGCAUCAAGAGAAGAAGGUGACAGCCAGC